GAUGAAGAACGUAGCGAAAUGCGAUACUUGGUGUGAAUUGCAGAAUCCCGUGAACCAUCGAGUCUUUGAACGCAAGUUGCGCCCGAAGCCAUUAGGCCGAGGGCACGCCUGCCUGGGCGUCACACGUCGUUGCCCCCCCAUCUACUCCUUCGGGAUUGCGGGGGGCGGAUGAUGGCCUCCCGUGCGCCUCGUCGCGCGGUUGGCCUAAAUGCCAAGUCCUCGGCGACGCACGCCACGACAAUCGGUGGUUGCGAAACCUCGGUUGCCUGUCGUGUGCGGUCGUCGCGCAUCGAGGGCUCGAAAAAAUUGCCGGGCUUCGGCUCGACUUUCAACGCGACCCCAGGUCAGGCGGGGUUACCCGCUGAAUUUAAGCAUAUCAAUAAGCGGAG
RNAcentral lists this unclassified non-coding RNA (389 nucleotides) under soil metagenome. Its description in RNAcentral is "partial contains 5.8S ribosomal RNA, internal transcribed spacer 2, and large subunit ribosomal RNA". The stretch from base 1 to 122 matches the Rfam family "5.8S ribosomal RNA", at positions 35 to 154 of the family's 154-position model. The record is from RNAcentral.